Molecule: long non-coding RNA, 12112 nt
Filed under: Panax ginseng (ginseng)
Lineage: Eukaryota; Viridiplantae; Streptophyta; Magnoliopsida; Apiales; Araliaceae
Description: long non-coding RNA (PGIN_LNC013582)
Source: RNAcentral
ACUUAUUAGAGCAGUGUAAGUCACAUUAUCUGGUUCCAGACCUUUAUCAAUCAUUUCACCAAGGAGGCAAAUAGCCUCUUGAAGGUUGUUUGAGUUGCAAUGAUUAUCGAUCAAAGCAGUGUAACAUUUAACAUUAGGAUUUAAUCCCAUCUCCUCCAUUUGUCUCCAAAAAGUCAAAGCACCAUCAAUUUCUCCCUUGUAUCCAUCUUCGCUAUAUAAUUCUAUAGCCUUUUCUAAGUUAAUUUUAGAAUGCCCAUUAAUUAAAACUGUGUAAGUGAUGACAUCAGGUUUGAUUCCCCUUCGCUUCAUAUCAUUAAAAAGAUCACAGGCCUGCUUCAAGCAAUUUAACCUGCAAUAACCAUUCAACAUGAUUGUGUAGGUAAUAACGUCAGGGGUUAAACCUCUCCAGACCAUAUUAUCAAAUACCCAUUGUGCGUCUCUCAUUUCUCCAGCAUGACAAAGCGCAGCAAUAAGUUUGCUGCACAUUAUCUGACAAGGGCCACGAUCUGAAACCAACAUAGUCUUAAAUAGCAUAAGAGCAUCGUCAAAUGCACCUUCUGUACAAAGGUUACUGAGAAGUGUUAGGCAAGAAUCCCUUUUAACUAAAAUUCCUUGCUUGGACAACCUAACAAAAAGCUCAUAUGCAUCUCUUGUCUUUUUUGCUUCACAGUACCCAUUUACCAUUGCAGAAUAAUUAUCUAGCCCCUUGUAUUCUAAACUGCCAAAAAACAAUUCAGCUUCCAUCACCUUUCCUCCCAUGCAUAAGCCUUGAAUGAUCAUGUUGUGUGUAACAGUGGUAGGUUCCAAACCCUGAGCUUUCAUAUAAUUUAAAAGAUCACGUGCCUCUCGUGCAAGUCCGUUUCUUGAAAACCCACCAGCAAGCACAUUGUAAGUAGCAAUAUCAGGUUUUAUGCCCUUUUUUGUCAUUUCCACAAAAAGAUCCAAGGCUUCAACUGGUUGUCCAUUAAAGAAGUAAUUACUGAUCAGAGUUGUGUAGUUAACAACAUCUGGGACCAUCUUCUUUUUCUUCAUCUCAUCAAACAACUUCAUGGCUUCUUCCAAGUUCCCUAGUUUGCACAAAGAAUCAAUCACAAUAUUAUAAACAAUCUCAUCUAGGAAAAUUCCCGUGUCCUUAAAGUUCAUGAAUUGGUGCACCACUUCCGAAGCCAAGCCCAUCCGGCACAAGCAUUGAAAAACUGAGCUGAGAAUAACACAAUUAGUCUUGAUACCCUUUGUAGACAUUUCAUCAUGAAUUGCCAGGGAUUUGAGAAUAUUCCCCACCUUACAAUACCCUUGAAUCAAGGCCCCGUAACAAUAUGCAUCAGGGGCAAUCCCUGCUUCCUCCAUAUCAAGCAAGACAUCCUCAGCUUCUUUCACCUUCAUGUCACAAACAAGCCCACGAAUUACAACAGAGUAUGCAAACACAUCAAUAGGGACCUUGGCUCUUCUCCACACCUGUAGCACCUCAUAUCCUAAAUCUGACCUUCCAUGCGAACAAAGACCUUCUAUAUAAAUUGAGUAAGUAAAAGCAUUAGGGGUCACACCAUCUUCCUCCAUCAACUGAAACAUACCAAGAGCAUCUUCCAAACUACCUUUUCGACAAAGAGCUUUAAUCACAAUCCCAUAUGUAUAGACAUUAGGGCUCAACCCAAGACUCUUCAAUUGUUGAUAAAUAUCCACAGGCAUAUCCACUUUGCCACACUCGAUCAUCCGAUUCAUAAGAAAAUUACAAGUCAAAAUGUUUGGUAAAAAUCCACGCCUUGUUGUUUUGAAUAAAGUAUCAGUGGCUUCAUCAAACCUCCCCAUAAUAGCAUAGACCUUAACCAAUGCAUCAAGUGCUCGAACCAAUGAAUUUGGCACCUCAGCUAUAAGCCCCUCCAGUAACGCAUCAAACAAAUCCGAAAUUCCAAAACCCAAAUGCUCAAUUUUUGACUCUAUAACCUCUAACAGAAAAGAAUCCAAUUUUCUAUCCAUACCCCAAUAGCAAAGUAUCCUAAUAAUAGCCAUAUAAGUGUGUAUGCUGUGUCUAUAUCCAUCUUCUUUCAAUUGGUGGAAAAAUGACAAUGCAAGACUGGGGUUUUCUCUGAGCGAGUUCAAGUGAAAAGUAACUUUAGAUGUAUCAUUUUGGUAUGCAUCAAUCACCUGAACAUAGAGAUGCUUGUUGGAGCGAAACACACACAACCUUGGUCUUUCUGGAGUCCCUUCAACCUAGGAAACAAGAAAUUGGUUGCAGAAUUAGUGGUAUUGCUUUGUCACUAGUCAUAGGAACACAUUUUUUCUCGACUUAAUUUCUCUUUGCUAUGUUGGUCAUGUGCAGCAAAUUGAUAUUUUUGGAUAACUACUGAGGGUUACUAGGAAGGGGAGAACCAACUUGUGCUAUUAUCCAUAUUAAGUACUAGCAAAGUAAAACAAUGCCCAUAUAGCUAGAAAUUUGGUAGAAUGAUACAGCUAUCUAUCAAGAAAGAAAACAGAUAAAACAAUGUACUAACAUUAGAUAUUGAGAUUUUGCUAAAAUAGACAAGCAGUCUGCCAAUGAUAUUGAAAAAAUAAUGAUGUCCAGUUCAAAGCUACUUGUUGAAUAUUUGGCUAACAAGUAUUGAGAUACUUGUUGAAUAUUUGGCAAAUCAUUUGAAUCUUAUAUUCAUUUUGUUUCCAGAUCAUCACCUGUCAGCAAGUUAGCCAUUUGGAAGGACUAAAACCUAUGUUCAAAACUAAGGUUUGUUAGAUACAUAGGAACCACCUGUUGUGUUAUCCUUAAACAACCAUGUUACAACUUUUAAUGACAUUUGAGAUGAAUAUGCACAUAUUAUAUGGAUCCACCCCUUAACAAGGAAAUCUGAUACCAUCAACCUUUAUGAGAUUCCAAGUAGAAACAGGGUAAGCUAACAGAUAAGAGUUCCUCAAAUACUCUCAAAUUUAACAUACAAGCAUAGCCCAUCCAGAUGCUGCACUUUUGGCAUAUGUAAUUUGAAAUGCAGAAUUCUAGUGCCAAAAAAUAGCAGUGCAAAUCAAAAUUAUUCCAGUUAGUAACUUCCCCAUAUCAAAUAAUAAAAAUAGGUGCACAUUAUUAUACCUUUUCAGUUCUUUUCCUGUGAUUAUAAAAACUCUUACAGAAUUCAUAAACACGACUAUAUUGCAUCAGUUUGGGGAAAGUAAGAUGAAGAAGAGAUAAUAAAAGACUAUAUUUUUUAAAAAUAAAACCUUUUUGGGGAGACGAGGAUGGCGAGCGAUUCGGUUGUCUUGCCUGGUUCUGGCCUUAGCUUCAACAAUUAGAGACUGGUAGUAUUUCGGCCUUAUGGACACCAAUUUGGGAUGGAGGAAGAAAAGCUGCUGCUGCUGCUGUUGGGAAUACGCCAAUGAAGCCCUUGGAAGAAUGGAUAGAGAAGCUAAAGAAGAAGACAUCCCUCAGUCCUCACUAAUGAAAACCUUGUCCGUCUCUUUCUUCCUUGCGCACCUUCUUUUUUCUUUUCCCUUUUUCUUUUUGAUUUAUAUUCUGUUAAAGAUAUUUUCGAAUUUUAACUUUAAAUAAUACAAUUAUAAAAAUUAUAAGUACUUAUUUGAAUAAUAUUACUAAUUACAAAAUUUAUUAUUUUUUAAAAAUUAAAUAAAUCAUAUGUUAAAAAUAUUUUAAAUUGAUUUUAAUUUUUUAAAAGUCAAACUUGAUCCUAGAACGGAAAAAUAUAAUAUAGUUCUUAUUUUUAUCAAAAUAAUUUAUUGAAAAACAUUUUUGUUAAAAUAAUGAGUUUUUUUAUAAGGGCGACUUUUUUUUUUUCUUGUGCAUGGAUAAUAGGAAAUCGUAUUACUAUAAAGGAAAUUAUUAAAUCCACAAUAGAAAUUAUUAUUUUCACAACAAAAGUGUCGCUAUAGAUUUUAUAGCGACGGUUAUUAACGUCGCUAUACAUCUACAACUACACUUUUGUUGUAAAAAUAACAAAAAGUGUUGUAGAUUUAACAAUUACCUACUAUAAAAUGUCAUCUAAAGUACUUUCUCAUAUAUUGGUAUUUUCGCUAUAAAAUAUUAAAAUGUCAUCUGAGGUAUAUUCUCAUACACUCAAUAUUUUCGGGAAUAACUUAUAAAUUAAAAUUAAAAAUGACUUAUAAGUUAUAUUAAGUGAGAAUUUAUAAAUAAAAAUGUUUUGACACUCUUUUAAUUUAUAAGUUAAAAAUUAAGUUAAAAUAAAAGCGUGAAGAUAUUUGACUAAAAUGACUUAUAAGUUAAAAUAAGAUGUAAACACUAUUAAAAUAAAGACAAAAUAAUUUUUAUAUUUGGUCAAACUUAUUUUAAAAUAACUUAUAAGUCAUUUUUUAAUAAGUCAAAAUUUGUUACUUAUCAAAAAUGACUUGCAAGUCAAAAAAAACAAGUCAUCUCCAAAUACUAAACAGCAAAAAAAAUCUUAUAAAUUGGUUUGGCUGCCGAACAUGCUCUUAAUACUCCUACCAAAACAACACUAUCAUAUUUUGUUAUAUCAAUCAUGGAACGAGCCUUGAGUUUGUACACAUCACUAGAUAAUCUGAAAAUAUAAAUCAUCUUAUGAUACUUUUUGAUUAGUUAGUUAAUUUUGUACAGUACAUUUUCUUACACAAUAUGCCAAGCACCUCGGCGUAAUUCAGUUAGUACAGGAGGAUAAACCUGAUGCAGGACCAUAAUAAACUUGGUUUUUCUCCUUGGGAGUUCCGAUUAUGAUCCAUUGCUUGAUAUCCAAGCUUCAGUUCAUUCCUUUGUAACAAGGAUCCGCAAAGCUGGACAAGUACAAAAAUCAUACACCACUAACAUGCCUCACCGUCAUUCUUGUUAAACUAAUUUUCAUGGUUGUCUGCAAUCAAAGCAAAAAAAUUCACUAGGUAAAAAGACAUAUUUUUGAUAAAAUCAUUUCAUUAGUAAUAAUUUAGAUGAGUUUAGUUAAAGCUAUCAAUAUGACAAAAAAGGUUAAAUUACCCACCAAGGGGAUGACUCUUUUCCCAGACAUAACCAAGGGGUCACACAACCUAACUUUGUAACAACCAGUCUCACAUCGAAUGAUAUGGAAAAAAUUUGUAUAUAUAUAAAGAAUUAAGUUACUAACAAUAGUACCUUCAGUCAUGACCUUUUGGGUGAGCAUGUGGUGGCUAAGAUUGUGACGCCCCCAAAACAGGUAUACAUCACCCAUCUUGAGUGGCUAAAUACAUGGUACAAAAUUCAAAUACAACUUAAUUAUACAACCCAUCUUGAGUCGUCAAAUACAUGGUACAAAAUUCAAAUACAACUUAAUUAUACAACAGUCGUGUAAAAUACGACAAAACAAAAUCUAAGAGUUUUAAUAAGAAUAUUGUCAUCUAGACAAUAUCCAUACUCAAUAGCCCAGUAAGAAAUAUUAUGACUAAGAUAAUGCAGAAUAAAUUAUCAUUAGCCUUCAACAAUGUUAAACUGAUAGAAUAUAAUAGACAACAAGUUUAACUGCAGCGGAACAAGCAAUCCAUUAGAAGAGUCAAGUAGAGCAUAAAAUCUUCUAUGAUUUAAAAUGUUUUCAUCAAUUUUUAUCGUUGAGACUCAGCUUAAUAAAUAAACCACAUCAUCGAAUCAUCCCUGCACUACGGGCCAAGGAUAUUCAUUAAAUCAUCAAUGGUCAUGACUAUAUAGAAUAAUCCCUGGUCAUAAUCAUACCGAAAACUAUCCAUCAAUGCACUACAGGCCACUGAGGACUUUUACCACAUCAUUUAUAACAUUACAGGUCAUGAUUAUACCGAAUGAUCCAUAGUCAUAAUCAUACCACGUCCAUCUAUGCACGUAAGCCAAAGAUGACUUUCAUCACAAUAUAAGCAUGAGGAUGAUGACAAUGACAUAAUAAUUCAAUAAAACAAGUUCAAGAAUAAAUUUUAAAGAUUUAUAAGUUAAUUUAUCCUGAAAUCAAUUAUGUCCAAAUUGUCAACAUGAUACUGCUUUGUGGAGUAAAAUUCAAGAAUGCUCAGAAGAAUAUUUCCAUGAAAAGAUACUGGAUGAAGCGUAAAUAUCCAAGAUAUUCUACUAAUUUCAUGGAGUAUAGAAGCCAAAACUUUAACCAACUGAGUAUAAUAGAAUAUAUGAAACUGCAAAUGGAUUCGUCCGCCAUGCGGUAAUCCACGUAGACAGAUCAUUUCUACAAUUUAAUAAGGAAUGAAUACGAAGGAUCAUUCACCAUGCAUGCGGUAAUCCACAUAGACAGGUUAUUCCAACAGAAUAAUAAAGAAUGGAAUAACAGAAGAAUUCACCAGGCAUGCGAUAGACCGCACAGACAGGUUAUUCCCACAGAAUAAUAAAGAAUGGAAUAACAGAAGAAUUUCACCAUGUAUGCGGUACUUCGCAUAGACAGGUUAUUCCAACAUAAUAAUAAAGAAUGGAAUAACAACCCUUACGAGUAUUGAAAGAAAAUAACUCUCUUCAUGAAUACGAAAGAAUAAUACCCCUUACCUUAGAAGAAACUGGAUAUUGGAAUAGUGAGGUAGCAGACUUCUCUUCUUCUUUCUCUCUAUAAUUUCUCUCUAUAAUAAUUGCUCUAUAGCUUUAGUGAAUUGGUGAGAAAUGAAGGAAGAAUGAGCUUCUAUUUAUAGGAAAAUAUAGUUUCGAUAAUUGCACGUUUUGGGGCUCGAAAUAUUACAGUAUAAUACCUUCCUCUUUUUCUUCAUUUUUAAUUUAGUCCUGCAAGUAUUAUCAAACUUGCACCACCUCCCCUAAUAGUAAAUAAUGUGAAUCAAUAGUUCAAUCAUGUGAAUCAAUAGUUAUAAUCAUGUGAAAAUACGAAUUACAGUAUAGUACCUCCAUCUAUACCUCCAUUUUUAACUUAGUCAUGCAAGUAUUAUCAAUCUUGCACCAACUCCCCUAAUAGUACAAGAAUGUGAAUCAAUAGUACACACAUGUGAACAAAUAGUUAUAAUCAUGUGAAUUAAUAGCAAUUAAUUGCUCAUUUAUCCGAUUAAUUACCCGAUUGGUCAAUAUAACCUCCAGACAUCAAUUAUUAUCGAAAUAAAUGUCGAUUUUCACUAACACUAAUAAUUCCAACACAAUGGAACUAUCAAUUUCAUCUUUAAUCAACACGAACUUAUUCAUCAUUAAUAUUAUAACUCACAAUAUUUAACAACCAGGUCGUUCCCAGGAAAGAGGGGGCUUUCCGAUAAGGAUUUCUCCUUAUUGGCGCGCAAUUAGGUGACCAAACCUCUCCUUGACAGAACUUCUAGACAUUGUCAAUAUUGCAAAUAAUAAUAUGAAUAACUUUGUCGUCUCAAUUAUUGAUUUAAUAAUAUAACAUAUUAUGCAGAUGAUACUGUGACAAUAAUUGAAUCAAUAAUAUGAGAGAUAUGAUGCAGCAAUUACUGUAGCAAUAAUUGAGUAUAACUGAGUGACUUCUCACGUAAAUAUCAAUAAUCAAUACCGUGCGCUACUAUGCAACCACGCGUAUUACUGUACUUUUACUACCGGGUAGUUCAACCGUUUUAACGAUAACACUUUCGCCGUUAUUUUUAUAAAAAGAUAAUUCUGUCGUUUUCUUACUACGACAAUACUUUUAUUGUGGGGUCCACCAAUGAUUGUGCCGUCGUACGAAUAUUCCCUGUUAAAACGAAUAUUCCCCGACCAAUCGAAUAUUAUAUAACCACUAGCUUACUUUGCAAAAUUUGUAAAUAUUACCCACAACUAUAACAUUAUAUCAAAUUCACACCAUAAUAUUCAAAAUUUUUUUUUGAGAAAUUUAAAUCUUUAUUCAUAAAAUCUGGGGUCUCACAGCAUAUAUGGUGAAAUUCUUCUAUUAUUCCAUUCUUUACUAUUCUGUUAGAAUAACCUGUCUGUGCGGUCUAUCGCAUGCUGGUGAAUUCUGUUGUUAUUCCAUUCUUUAUUAUUCUGUUGGAAUAUCCUGUCUGUGCGGAUUACGCAUGACCUGAUUCCAUUCUUUAUUAUUCUGUUGGNNNNNNNNNNNNNNNNNNNNNNNNNNNNNNNNNNNNNNNNNNNNNNNNNNNNNNNNNNNNNNNNNNNNNNNNNNNNNNNNNNNNNNNNNNNNNNNNNNNNNNNNNNNNNNNNNNNNNNNNNNNNNNNNNNNNNNNNNNNNNNNNNNNNNNNNNNNNNNNNNNNNNNNNNNNNNNNNNNNNNNNNNNNNNNNNNNNNNNNNNNNNNNNNNNNNNNNNNNNNNNNNNNNNNNNNNNNNNNNNNNNNNNGGUGAAAAUCCAUUUGCAGUUUCGUAUAUUCUAUUAUACUCAUCUGGGAUAUCAUUUCUUUUGUACUGGUCAUGAAAUAUCGUUUUCUUUGGUAUUUUUUUGUUACGAGUUACUAUUCAUGGGUUACUAUUCACCCGGUUACUAUUCACUCUAGUAUUAUUCACUCGGGUAUUCGGGGUACUUUUCGUGCCGGAGUAUUAUUCACGAGUUACUAUUCACGGGUUACUAUUCACUCUAGUAUUAUUCACUCGGGUAUUCGGGGUACUUUUCGUGCCGGAGUAUUAUUCACGAGUUACUAUUCACGGGUUACUAUUCACUCUAGUAUCAUUCACUCGGGUAUUCGGGACAGUUUUCGUGUCGGGGUACUAUUCACGGGGUACUAUUCCCGAAGUACUAUUCACGGGGUACUAUUUACCCGAAAAAUAUAUUCUUUUCUGUCCAAAUUACUUUGGGUACAUGAAUAUUAUUCUUGAAUUUUACUCUACAAAGUAGUAUCAUGUUGACAAUUUGGAUAUUUUUAAACUCUGGAUAAAUUUAAAGUCUUUNNNNNNNNNNNNNNNNNNNNNNNNNNNNNNNNNNNNNNNNNNNNNNNNNNNNNNNNNNNNNNNNNNNNNNNNNNNNNNNNNNNNNNNNNNNNNNNNNNNNAUUAUUGACAAUGUCUAGAAAGUUCUGUCGAGGAAAGGGGUUAGGUAAUCUAAUUGCACGCCAAUAAGGAGAAGUCCUUAUCGGAAAGCCCCCUCUUUCCUGGGAAUGAUCUGGUUGUCAAUAUUGUGAGUUAUAAUAUUAAUGAUGAAUAAUUGUUGAAAGAUUAAAAAAAAAUGUGUUGAUUGAAGAUAAAAUGAUUUGUGGUAAGUAUUUAUUCAAUCUUUGAUAUAAAUAAGAAGUCUGUUAUGAGACAUUUGUUGUAAGUUUGGUUUAUUCUAUGGGGCCCAUAUGUCAUCAUCUAAGAGUCACUUUCGCCAAUAGUACUUGUCUUUACCAGACGUCGAACCACUUGUCAUUUCACAUUACAGGCGUUGAACCACUUGUUGUUUCACAUUACAGGCGUCGAACCACUUAUUGCUUCACAUGAUAGGCGUCGAACCACUUGUUAUUUCAUAUGACAGGCAUCGAACCACUUGUUCUUUCACAUUACAGGCGUCAAACCACUUGUUGUGUCACAUUACAGGCGUCAAACCACUUUUCUUUUCACAUCACCAAUCGUCAAGCCACUUGCCUCUUUACAUCGCAAGGGCUAAACUAGAAAUCUUUUAUAAAUAGAAGCUUAUUUCUUCUUUCAUUCUCACCAAUUAACUACGACUCAUAAGAGAAUUCUAUAGAGAGAGAAUCAAAGAGAAAGAAUAAGAGUAUUCGGUUACUACACUAUUGCAGUAUCCAAUCUCCUACUAAGGUAAGGGGUAUUAUUUCUUUCGUAUUCGUAAGGGAUAUUAUUUUGUUCAAUAUUCGUAAGAAGUAAUAUUUUCUUCCAUACUCUGUAGUAUGUAAGUAAUAUUAUUUCGUUUCAGAUUUUGAAUUCUACACUCAUUUUGUUAAGUUUUGGCUUCUAUACUCCAUGAAAUUAGUAGAAUAUCCUUGAUAUUUGCGCAUCAUCUAGUAUCUUUUCAUGGAAAUAUUAUUCUGAGCAUUCUUGAUAAGUUUUAACCUUUUUAUGCAGGAGUACUAUUCACGGAGUACUAUUCAUGGGGUACUAUUCACCCGACGUACUAUUCAUGAUAAAAAUUAAUUUCUUUUUGAUCUAAAUCAUUUUUGUUAUAAUAUUAUUCUUGAAUUUUACUCCACAAAGCAGUAUCAUGUUGACGGUUUGGACAUUAUUGAAUUCUGGAUAAAUUGAAUUAUAAAUCUUUAAAAUUUAUCCUUUGCUUUCAUUUAAUUAAAUUCUUAUAGCAUUGUCAUCAUCCUCAUGUUUAUAUUGUUAUGAAAGUCAUCUUUGGCCCGUAGUGCAUAGAUGAACUGUUGAUUGGUAUGAUUAUGAUCAGGGAUCAUUCGGUAUAAUCAUGACCCGUAAUGUUACUAAUGAUGUGGUACAAGUCCUCAUUGGCCUGUAGUGCAUUGAUGGACAGUUGUUAGUACGAUCAUGACCAUUGGUGAUAAUAAUGAAUAUCCUUGGCCCGUAGUGCAUGGAUAAUUCAGUGAUGUGGAUUAUUUAUUAAGCUGAGUCUCAGCGAUAAAAUUGGUGAUAACUAUUAAAUCAUAAAAGAUAGUAGAUAUCAUGCUCUACUUGACUAUUCUAAUGGAUUGUUUGUUCCGCUGCAGUUAAACUUGUUGUCUAUUAUAUUCUAUCAGUUUAACACUGUUGAAAGCUAACGAUAAUUUAUUCUGCAUUAUCUUAGUCAUAAUAUUUCUUACUGGGCUAGUUGAGCUCACCCUUUUGCUUUCAUUAUUCUCUUCAGGAAAUGAGAACGUGGCCGGGACUAGUUAGGGAACGGAAUGAUGGUCCAAGAUGGUGGCUGUAGUAGUCCUCACUAUUUUAUAAAAUAGUGUGAUAAUAAUUGUAAUGAGGACUUCAUUUUAGUUUGAAUACUGUCUACUAGACAAUAUUCGUGUAAAAACUCUUAGCUACGCUUUUGUCAUAUUAUAUAAGAAAGUUUGUAUUUGAAUUGUGUACCAUAUAUUUGGCGACUCAGAAUGAGUGAUGUAUACCUAUUUUGGGGGCGUCACAAUAUGACUAGUCUAAACGGUCCACGUGUGGCCUAGAAAAUGGUAAAUCUUCCUACCUACAAUUGAUUAAACUUAUAUUAUAAAUAAGUAAAUAACUGCCUAAGUUGUAAAAAGUGUGAAGUUCAAUAGAUAUUCAAGACUGUGUGUGUACAUAUUUAGCUAUGGACUAUUUAGAUGGUGCAGAUGAUAAUAUACCAGUAUCUUGCAAACAGCCAAUCUAGUAUUCUAAUGUCACUGAAAAGAUUAGAACAUUAGAUGGUCAUACAUUGUCUCUCGUGUAUACAAUCACUCGUAUUUCUGAUAGGUGAUAAAUAAUAAAACACUCGUUGAUGAACAACUUAAAUGGGUUCCAACAAUAUUUCAAAUGAAUCAAAUACAUGUAUAAGAACAAGUUUAAUGCGCUUCAGUAGGGCUGCAUUAUAAUUAGUGCCUCAUUUUGACUACAUUUUCACUUAUUCAUGAUCAGGUGAACUCCUCAGCUUCCCUAGAUUUUUUUUCUCACUUUUACCAAUACAAUUUCCUUUUCUACACAAGAAAUUAUUGUUUUAAUUAAUGAAGUCUCUAAAUUUAUUCUCUAUAUGCACACAACCUUAAAGUCCAUUCAGGCUUUUAUAGUAUGUUUAACUGCACACAAAAGCAUAGCAAUGCCCUAUUUCUUAUUUGAAAUUUUUAUGCCUAAUACAGCAGUUACAUGUAACAAGCAGCACACCAUGUCUACAUCUAAGCAUAAUAGUCAACAACAAUAAAACACGAGCUUCAACGCAUGGACCAUAACCCAAAAAAACAUUUUAUAAUUAUUAUCUUUAUUGAAGACAGCCUAAAGGAUGGACUCACACACUUAUAAAUGACAGAAAGAAUAUAAGAAAAGCAAAUCUCAUACAAACAAUUGACAAGUUAUGUUAAAUGGUAUAGUGUUUAUAUUCAUCUCACUUGUAAGAAUCACCAAAGUCCUUAACGCCGGUAUUAUACUUUCUUAGCCUUCAAAAUACAAUGGUGUAAGACUAACUUUGUACAGGUUUCUCGUUCUAUCUCCUUGACUGACAUCCCAUUAACAAGGUUUACAGCCCUUUUUAUCUCACCCCAACGAAAGUAGACACUUAUUAGAACAGUGUAAGUUACAUUAUCUGGUUCCAGACCUUUAUCAAUCAUUUCACCAAGGAGGCAAAUUUCCUCUUGAAGAUUGUUUGAGUUGCAAUGAUUAUCGAUCAAAGUAGUGUAACAUUUAACAUCAGGAUUUAAUCCCAUCUCCUCCAUUUCUCUCCAAAAAGUCAAAGCACCAUCAGUUUCUCCCUUGUAU